UCUAAGCACAAGCCUAAGAAUGGUAAAGCCGCGAAUGGCUCAUUACAACAGCCAUAGUUUACUGGAUCUUACUUUCCUACUUGGAUAACUGUGGUAAUUCUAGAGCUAAUACACGCAUGAAAGCUCUGACCUUUUGGGAGGAGCGCAUUUAUUAGAACAAAACCAAUCGGGCCUUCGGGCCCGCCAAUUGGUGAAUCUGAAUAACUUUGCAGAUCGCACGGUCUCGUACCGGCGACGUAUCUUUCAAAUGUCUGCCUUAUCAACUUUAGAUGGUAGUUUACACGCCUACCAUGGUUGUAACGGGUAACGGAGAAUAAGGGUUCGACUCCGGAGAGGGAGCCUGAGAAAUGGCUACCACAUCCAAGGAAGGCAGCAGGCACGCAAAUUACCCACUCCCGGCACGGGGAGGUAGUGACGAAAAAUAACGAGGCGGUUCUCUACGAGGCCCGCCAUCGGAAUGGGUACAAUUUAAA
Molecule: ribosomal RNA, 473 nt
Filed under: unidentified nematode Sourhope farm
Lineage: Eukaryota; Metazoa; Nematoda
Description: SSU rRNA
Rfam family: Eukaryotic small subunit ribosomal RNA
Source: RNAcentral